UACAGAGGGGGCAAGCGUUAUUCGGAAUUACUGGGCUUAAAGAGUUCGUAGGCGGCAUUGCAAGUAGGGUGUGAAAGCCCUCGGCUCAACCGAGGAAUUGCGCUCUAAACUGCAGUGCUUGAGGAACCUAGAGGUGAGCAGAACAGAUGGUGGAGCGGUGAAAUGCGUUGAUAUCAUCUGGAAUACCGGAGGCGAAGGCGGCUCACUGGGAGUUUUCUGACGCUGAGGAACGAAAGCCAGGGUAGCGAACGGG
This 253-nucleotide ribosomal RNA is filed under the name uncultured bacterium. RNAcentral describes it as "partial 16S ribosomal RNA". It matches the Rfam family "Bacterial small subunit ribosomal RNA", at positions 524 to 776 of the family's 1533-position model. The record is from RNAcentral.